Molecule: unclassified non-coding RNA, 229 nt
Filed under: Hevea brasiliensis (rubber tree)
Lineage: Eukaryota; Viridiplantae; Streptophyta; Magnoliopsida; Malpighiales; Euphorbiaceae
Source: RNAcentral
UUCACUCAUUGAUAAAUCAUUGUUAAACUUACAAGUUUACAAUCCAAUCAUGUUUCCAAGAUAAAUGUAAUGGAAAGUAAUAGCCAAGAAGUUGUUCGCCCAGUUACAGACUUGCAGAGGUGGAGACUUUGUGUGGUUGUAAAUUAUUUUUAUGAUAAUUUUCACAUAAAGAAUCCGUUGUGUUUGUGCUCAUUCAGAAACUCUUGAUGGAUUUUUCCCAGCCGACAAA